GUGAGGAAUUUUCCGCAAUGGGCGAAAGCCUGACGGAGCAAUGCCGCGUGAAGGAUGAAGGCCUAUGGGUUGUAAACUUCUUUUCUCAGAAAAGAAUUAUGACGGUAUCUGAGGAAUAAGCAUCGGCUAACUCUGUGCCAGCAGCCGCGGUAAGACAGAGGAUGCAAGCGUUAUCCGGAAUGAUUGGGCGUAAAGCGUCUGUAGGUUGUUUAAAAAGUAUUCUGUCAAAGAUUAGGGCUUAACCCUAGAUAGGCAGAAUAAACUUUUAAGCUAGAGUUUGGUAGAGGCAGAGGGAAUUCCCGGUGGAGCGGUGAAAUGCGUAGAUAUCGGGAGGAACACCAAAGGCGAAGGCACUCUGCUGGGCCAAUACUAACACUGAGAGACGAAAGCGAGGGGAGCAAACGGGAUUAGAAACCCGGGUAGUCC
Molecule: ribosomal RNA, 426 nt
Filed under: uncultured bacterium
Lineage: Bacteria
Description: partial 16S ribosomal RNA
Rfam family: Bacterial small subunit ribosomal RNA
Source: RNAcentral